RNAcentral lists this ribosomal RNA (253 nucleotides) under uncultured bacterium. RNAcentral describes it as "partial 16S ribosomal RNA". It matches the Rfam family "Bacterial small subunit ribosomal RNA", at positions 524 to 776 of the family's 1533-position model. The record is from RNAcentral.
UACGGAGGGGGCUAGCGUUGUUCGGAAUUACUGGGCGUAAAGCGCACGUAGGCGGCUUUGCAAGUUAGAGGUGAAAGCCCAGGGCUUAACCCUGAAAUUGCCUUUAAAACUGCAUCGCUAGAAUUGUGGAGAGGUAAGUGGAAUUCCGAGUGUAGAGGUGAAAUUCGUAGAUAUUCGGAAGAACACCAGUGGCGAAGGCGACUUACUGGACACAUAUUGACGCUGAGGUGCGAAAGCGUGGGGAGCAAACAGG